RNAcentral lists this ribosomal RNA (253 nucleotides) under uncultured bacterium. RNAcentral describes it as "partial 16S ribosomal RNA". It matches the Rfam family "Bacterial small subunit ribosomal RNA", at positions 524 to 776 of the family's 1533-position model. The record is from RNAcentral.
UACGAGGGGGGCGAGCGUUGUUCGGAAUUAUUGGGCGUAAAGGGCGCGUAGGCGGUGCGGUAAGUCUUCUGUGAAAUCUCCGGGCUCAACUCGGAGUCUGCAGGGGAAACUGCCGUGCUUGAGUGUGGGAGAGGUGAGUGGAAUUCCCGGUGUAGCGGUGAAAUGCGUAGAUAUCGGGAGGAACAUCAGUGGCGAAGGCGGCUUCUUGGGCCCUACCUGACGCUGAGGCGCGAAAGCCAGGGGAGCGAACAGG